AUUGAACGCUGGCGGCAGGCCUAACACAUGCAAGUCGAGCGGAUGAAGGGAGCUUGCUCCUGGAUUCAGCGGCGGACGGGUGAGUAAUGCCUAGGAAUCUGCCUGGUAGUGGGGGAUAACGUCCGGAAACGGGCGCUAAUCCCGCAUACGUCCUGAGGGAGAAAGUGGGGGAUCUUCGGACCUCACGCUAUCAGCUGAGCCUAGGUCGGAUUAGCUAGUUGGUGGGGUAAAGGCCUACCAAGGCGACGAUCCGUAACUGGUCUGAGAGGAUGAUCAGUCACACUGGAACUGAGACACGGUCCAGACUCCUACGGGAGGCAGCAGUGGGGAAUAUUGCACAAUGGGCGAAAGCCUGACCCAGCCAUGCCGCGUGAGUGAAGAAGGUCUUCGGAUUGUAAAGCACUUUUAGUUGGGAGGAAGGGCAGUAUGUUAAUAUCUUGCUGUUUUGACGUUACCAACAGAAUAAGCACCGGCUAACUUCGUG
RNAcentral lists this ribosomal RNA (484 nucleotides) under uncultured bacterium. RNAcentral's name for it is "partial 16S ribosomal RNA". It matches the Rfam family "Bacterial small subunit ribosomal RNA", at positions 30 to 507 of the family's 1533-position model. The record is from RNAcentral.